RNAcentral lists this transfer RNA (72 nucleotides) under bacterium. RNAcentral's name for it is "tRNA-Asn". It matches the Rfam family "tRNA". Rfam says of the family: Transfer RNA (tRNA) molecules are approximately 80 nucleotides in length. The record is from RNAcentral.
GCCCCAGUAGCUCAAUGGUAGAGCGGUGGGCUGUUAACCCAUAGGUUGCAGGUUCGAGUCCUGCCUGGGGCG